This 425-nucleotide ribosomal RNA is filed under the name uncultured bacterium. RNAcentral's name for it is "bacterial SSU rRNA". It matches the Rfam family "Bacterial small subunit ribosomal RNA", at positions 354 to 796 of the family's 1533-position model. The record is from RNAcentral.
GUAGGGAAUCUUGCGCAAUGGGCGAAAGCCUGACGCAGCCAUGCCGCGUGAAUGAUGAAGGUCUUAGGAUUGUAAAAUUCUUUCACCGGGGACGAUAAUGACGGUACCCGGAGAAGAAGCCCCGGCUAACUUCGUGCCAGCAGCCGCGGUAAUACGAAGGGGGCUAGCGUUGCUCGGAAUUACUGGGCGUAAAGGGAGCGUAGGCGGAUAGUUUAGUCAGAGGUGAAAGCCCAGGGCUCAACCUUGGAAUUGCCUUUGAUACUGGCUAUCUUGAGUAUGGAAGAGGUAUGUGGAACUCCGAGUGUAGAGGUGAAAUUCGUAGAUAUUCGGAAGAACACCAGUGGCGAAGGCGACUCACUGGCCCGUUACUGACGCUGAGGCGCGAAAGCGUGGGGAGCAAACAGGAUUAGAAACCCGUGUAGUCC